AUGAGGACCAAGGGUCCGGAAACGGUCAUAUAUGCCAGACAUGACCGAUUUGGAAACUCAAAAGUCCUAAAUCAUUUAUUGGGAUUUAGGUCAAAUUUUAUUUUUCAACAGAAAUAAUUUCGGUCAUUUCGUUGAGAUUGAGUUUCAAAUCGCCAUUUUAAACAUAUUUUUGUUUUGUUAUCGAUUUUAUGUAAUUAAACUGCCACUCCAGUAAAGUGU
Molecule: long non-coding RNA, 219 nt
Filed under: Mytilus galloprovincialis (Mediterranean mussel)
Lineage: Eukaryota; Metazoa; Mollusca; Bivalvia; Mytilida; Mytilidae
Source: RNAcentral